This 1400-nucleotide ribosomal RNA is filed under the name uncultured bacterium. Its description in RNAcentral is "partial 16S ribosomal RNA". It matches the Rfam family "Bacterial small subunit ribosomal RNA". The record is from RNAcentral.
GAGUUUGAUCCUGGCUCAGAACGAACGCUGGCGGCGUGGAUAAGACAUGCAAGUCGAACGGGAUUUCAUUUGUAGCAAUACACGUGAAGUUCAGUGGCGUAAGGGUGCGUAACACGUGGGCAAUCUGCCGAGAUGUGGGGGAUAGCUCGCCGAAAGGCGAAUUAAUACCGCAUGUGGUUAGUGUUGGAUUCAACACGACACCAAAGCCGGGGCAACCUGGCGCAUCUUGAUGAGCCCGCGGCCUAUCAGCUAGUUGGUGAGGUAACGGCUCACCAAGGCUAUGACGGGUAGCUGGUCUGAGAGGACGACCAGCCACACUGGAACUGAGACACGGUCCAGACACCUACGGGUGGCAGCAGUCGAGAAUUUUUCUCAAUGGGGGAAACCCUGAAGGAGCGACGCCGCGUGGAGGAUGAAGGUCUUCGGAUUGUAAACUCCUGUCAUUUGGGAACAAUUGUUGGCGAUUAACUGUCGUCAGCUUGAUAGUACCAGAAGAGGAAGAGACGGCUAACUCUGUGCCAGCAGCCGCGGUAAUACAGAGGUCUCAAGCGUUGUUCGGAUUCAUUGGGCGUAAAGGGUGCGUAGGUGGCGAGGUUAGUCAGGUGUGAAAUCUCGGGGCUCAACCCCGAAACUGCACUUGAUACUGCCUUGCUAGAGUACUGGAGAGGAGAUUGGAAUUUACGGUGUAGCAGUGAAAUGCGUAGAUAUCGUAAGGAAGACCAGUGGCGAAGGCGAAUCUCUGGACAGUUACUGACACUGAGGCACGAAGGCCAGGGGAGCAAACGGGAUUAGAUACCCCGGUAGUCCUGGCAGUAAACGGUGCGCGUUUGGUGUGGGAGGAUUCGACCCCUUCUGUGCCGGAGCUAACGCGUUAAACGCGCCGCCUGGGGAGUACGGUCGCAAGAUUAAAACUCAAAGAAAUUGACGGGGGCCCGCACAAGCGGUGGAGCAUGUGGUUUAAUUCGACGCAACGCGAAGAACCUUACCCAGACUUGACAUGCACUAGAUAGGUGUGGAAACACACCCUCCCUUCGGGGCUGGUGCACAGGUGCUGCAUGGCUGUCGUCAGCUCGUGUCGUGAGAUGUUGGGUUAAGUCCCGCAACGAGCGCAACCCUUGUCCUUAGUUGCUAACAGGUAAAGCUGAGCACUCUAAGGAGACUGCCGGUGAUAAACCGGAGGAAGGUGGGGAUGACGUCAAGUCCUCAUGGCCCUUACGUCUGGGGCUACACACGUGCUACAAUGGCCGGUACAAAGGGUUCCGAUGCCGCGAGGUGGAGGCAAUCCCAAAAAACCGGUCUCAGUUCGGAUUGCAGUCUGCAACUCGACUGCAUGAAGUCGGAAUCGCUAGUAAUCGCUGAUCAGCACGCUGGGGUGAUACGUUCCCGGGCCUUGUACACAC